Regulatory RNA element from Weissella ceti, 128 nucleotides. It matches the Rfam family "Ribosomal protein L10 leader". Rfam says of the family: This family is a putative r-protein leader autoregulatory structure found in B. subtilis and other low-GC Gram-positive bacteria. It is located in the 5' untranslated regions of mRNAs encoding ribosomal proteins L10 and L12 (rplJ-rplL). The record is from Rfam. NCBI's taxonomy places the organism in Bacteria, Bacillati, Bacillota, Bacilli, Lactobacillales, Lactobacillaceae.
UGUAAUAUAUCGAUUCUACCUAAGACGCAGGUGUCGUAAGACAUAAAUCCCGCCGAGGAAGUGAAAAACGCGCAAGCGACUUUUGACCCCCGGUGACUUUUGUCUACCGGGGGUUUUGGUUAGAAUCA